UACAGAGGGUGCGAGCGUUGUUCGGAAUUACUGGGCGUAAAGCGCGCGCAGGCGGCUUCUUAAGUCCAUCGGUGAAAUGCCGGGGCUCAACCCCGUUGCAGGCCGAGGAUACUGGGAGGCUGGAGACGAGUAGAGGCAAGCGGAAUUCCGGGUGUAGCGGUGGAAUGCGUAGAGAUCCGGAAGAACACCGGAGGCGAAGGCGGCUUGCUGGGCUCGGUCUGACGCUGAGGCGCGAAAGCGUGGGGAGCGAACAGG
Molecule: ribosomal RNA, 255 nt
Filed under: uncultured bacterium
Lineage: Bacteria
Description: partial 16S ribosomal RNA
Rfam family: Bacterial small subunit ribosomal RNA
Source: RNAcentral